This 482-nucleotide ribosomal RNA is filed under the name uncultured bacterium. RNAcentral describes it as "partial 16S ribosomal RNA". It matches the Rfam family "Bacterial small subunit ribosomal RNA", at positions 30 to 507 of the family's 1533-position model. The record is from RNAcentral.
AUUGAACGCUGGCGGCAUGCCUUACACAUGCAAGUCGAACGGUAACGGGCCUUCGGGUGCCGACGAGUGGCGAACGGGUGAGUAAUACAUCGGAACGUGCCCGAUCGUGGGGGAUAACGAGGCGAAAGCUUUGCUAAUACCGCAUACGAUCUACGGAUUAAAGCAGGGGACCGCAAGGCCUUGCGCGGACUGAGCGGCCGGUGCCAGAUUAGGUAGUGCGGAAGGUAAAAGUUUACCAAGGCAACGAUGCGUAGCCGAUCUGAGAGGAUGAGCGGCCACACUGGAACUGAGACACGGGCCAGACUCCUACGGGAGGCAGCAGUAGGGAAUCUUCCGCAAUGGGCGAAAGCCUGACGGAGCAACGCCGCGUGAGUGAUGAAGGUCUUCGGAUCGUAAAACUCUGUUAUUAGGGAAGAACAAAUGUGUAAGUAACUAUGCACGUCUUGACGGUACCUAAUCAGAAAGCCACGGCUAACUACGUG